AAUAGUUAAUAAAACAAAUUACAAAUUUGAGCUUUCAGAUGCCCAUAUUCGGGUGGUGACGUACAUAUUCAAAAUUUCAUAGCUGUAGGUACCGUUGUUUUAUCACAGUAUCUGCAUAAAUGUUAUGUACGUUAAACAUACGUAUAUUUAUGCUGAUUCUUUAUUAUUAAAUAUCUUUAAAUAUAACACACAGCGAUAAUAUUCGGUAGAAACAGUUCAACGCAAAAUGCGAAAACGAAAUUAAUAGCCCUUCUGGGCUAACGCGCUUUGGGAUAAAAACGCAAAAAUAGAACAUAACAGCUUUCAUUGUCAGUGCUUUAAAAAAAAAAAAAAAAAAAAAAAAAAUCGAUAGGCCUUAUUUAAUUUAAUAAAAUCGAAAAGUUGAGCAAGUUGCAUAUUUUUGAGAGGAUAAAUAUGCCACGAAACCUUCAAAAUCAUUUUUUAGUUCAUCACGCACGCAUAUCUGCACACAAAAAUAACAAUACCUAUUAUUCUUCUGCAUCUCUGUUUAAAAAUGUUUUAAAAAAACAUAUGUACCGAAAAACAUUUAUUUGUAAAGUAAAAUAUUUUUUUUUUCGAAAAUAUUUUAAAUAAAUUUAAAAAAGAAGAUUUUUCGCGAUCAUAUUUUGCCGCGGUUAAGCCCGUGCAGCUGUCUGUCUGUCUGUCAGGUACUGAAAAAAAUCAGUACCUCGGUACUUACGUGAAAACGUGGUUUGGACUUUGCCAAAGCUAAGUUUACUUUUAAUCUAUUUUCAUCCAUUACAUUUUUUAAUAUUAUUUUUCACUUGAAAUUUGUUUUAAUACUUUGUUUUCAUAGAUACAUAUCAUUACUAUUAUUUUUAUUUUCCUUUUUUUUUUUUUUUUUUUUUUUUUUUUGUAACAGUACUUUCUAGUUUGAACUUUUCACUUCUCUAUCUUCCUAUAAUGAACUAAUAUUGUUUAAUUAAACUUAUAAUUACUUUUCAUCUUUAUUAAACUUUUUUAUUUCUGAUAGUUUUGACUUUUGCAUAAUUGCCAAGUUUCUGAAAUUUCUAACAAUAAAUUUCAUUAAACUAUUUCUGUCACUGUACUGACUUUUUUGAAUAUGGCUUCUUUGCAUGAAAAACUGAAAUAUUUCUGUUUAAUUACUGACAUGCAUUUAAUUAAUACAGAGGCAGCUGCACUCGAGUUUGCCACCGAUGCUGGACUUCUUCCCAGAGAGGAUGAGGCACCACCUUGCCCCAAGUGCCAGGCACCGAUGAGAAGCAACAAGAGAAAGGAAUCAAAGCUGGGAUGGCGUUGGGUCUGCAGCCUGAGAAAUCGCAACAACUGCUCUGGCAUGAUUAACCCCAUUGAAAACACAUUUUUUGAAGGUACAAAAAUCCCAAUAAGGGAAGCUUUAGUCAUAACUGUGUACUUUGUUCUAGAUCACAGUUUCAGCUACAUAAAUCAGCAGCUAAAGCUAUGGAGGGAAAAGCAAAAAUUACCAGUAAUUGCAAAUGAGACUAUUGUUGACUUUUUAUCAUAUUGUCGUGAGGUAUGCGAAAUUUUUGCCUCUCAUCAUAGCAGAAUGUUAGGUGGUAAAGGAAAAUCUAUAUUAAUUGAUGAAACAUUUUUGACCCGCCGCAAGUACAACCGCGGCAGGGUAACCAAAAAUAUGACCAUCGUAGUUUUAGGCAUCUACUGUCGAGAAGACAAAGAAGGAUUAUUUUUCAAGGUUAAAGGAAAAAGCAAAAGGCAUUUGUGGCCUUACAUUAAACGUCAUGUUCACCCAGAAACCACCUUCAUAUACACUGACUCUGCUCCACAAUAUAAAAGGAUAGAAAAUUUAUUUCCGGCAGCAACACAUAAAACUACCAAUCACAAGAAAGGCGUAUUCGUAGAUCCCGAUGAUAAACAGAACACUAUAAAUGAUCUUGAGGGUGAAAACAAACUUUUUAAGAGGUCUAUAAAGAGCAAGAGAACAGAUGAUAUUUGCACGCAGUACAUGGCUGUACAUUAUUACAGGCGGUUCCGCUUGAAGCCCUUUACUUAUGAUGGAGAAAGACUUGCUCAGUUUCUACAGGACAUUAAAGCUGUGUAUCCAGGCCAUGGAAAAGUCGGCCUUGAACUUAAAAUGUUGGACGAACCAACAUCAGAAAGCGAAGGAAUUGAGGACCUGAUGCCUCCAAAGAAAUCAGCCCGACAAGAUGAUGAUAUACCAUUCAUUCAGGAAGAUGAUGAUAAAUGGGAGUAAGGGAACACAGACCAAGUUUUAAAACUGGAAUAAAUGAUAAGAAAAGCAUACAAAAUUCAACCAAAAAACAGAGCCCAGAAAACAAAAGGAUGGAAAUGUUGCGAAAAUGUUGCAUAUCUUUUACAGAAAGAGGUAAAUGUGUAUUUCAGUUAUUCUCAACUUUUAUUUUGACGUGAGAGCUAUUCUUUAUAUAUUUUGUUAUUCCUUCAUUAAAAUAAACUUUCUUUCACAGCUGCAGAUCCAAAAUGUCAUGAAAUACUAUGACAGAGGUAAGACAAAAUUUUAACCAUUCACAGCUUAUGUUUCAAAUUAGUGCUUCACUUUAUUUUAAUACUACUCCUUCAGUAAAAGCAACUGUAAAAUUUAUUUAGUUAUUAUUAGUAUAAGUUUACCUACUUAUUUUUCAGUAAAAAAAACUUUAUUGCAAAUUAGGUAAUCCAAAAAAAUAAAUAAAAGAAAGAAGAAAACUAAUUUUGACAGAUAAAUUGACAAACAUAGAGGUGAGUUGAUUAAUUUAAAGGUUUCCAGCCUACUUCUUACCAGAAAACAUUUUAUUGUUAAGGAUAAUUUAUCACCCCUUUCAGGUAAAGAAUAUUGCA
Molecule: unclassified non-coding RNA, 2814 nt
Filed under: Stegodyphus dumicola
Lineage: Eukaryota; Metazoa; Arthropoda; Arachnida; Araneae; Eresidae
Description: uncharacterized LOC118181673, transcript variant X4
Source: RNAcentral